GAUGAACGCUAGCGGCAGGCUUAAUACAUGCAAGUCGAACGGGAUUGAGAAGCUUGCUUUUCAUGAGAGUGGCGCACGGGUGCGUAACACGUAUGCAACCUACCUUGUCCAGGGGGAUAGCCCGUUGAAAGACGGAUUAAGACCGCAUAACAUUGAGCUGUGGCAUCACAAAUCAAUCAAAUAUUUAUAGGGACAAGAUGGGCAUGCGCCUGAUUAGGUAGUUGGCGGGGUAAUGGCCCACCAAGCCGACGAUCAGUAGGGGAUCUGAGAGGAUGACCCCCCACACUGGUACUGAGACACGGACCAGACUCCUACGGGAGGCAGCAGUAAGGAAUAUUGGUCAAUGGGCGAAAGCCUGAACCAGCCAUGCCGCGUGCAGGAAGACGGCCCUACGGGUUGUAAACUGCUUUUAUACGGGAAUAACCCCCGGUUUCGUGAAACCGGCUGAAUGUACCGUAAGAAUAAGGAUCGGCUAACUCCGUGCCAGCCGCCGCCGUAA
Molecule: ribosomal RNA, 499 nt
Filed under: uncultured bacterium
Lineage: Bacteria
Description: partial 16S ribosomal RNA
Rfam family: Bacterial small subunit ribosomal RNA
Source: RNAcentral